RNAcentral lists this ribosomal RNA (774 nucleotides) under uncultured bacterium. RNAcentral's name for it is "bacterial SSU rRNA". It matches the Rfam family "Bacterial small subunit ribosomal RNA", at positions 8 to 796 of the family's 1533-position model. The record is from RNAcentral.
AGAGUUUGAUCCUGGCUCAGGACGAACGCUGGCGGCGUGCUUAACACAUGCAAGUCGAGCGAGGCCCGCCCUUCGGGGCGGUGUCCUAGCGGCGAACGGGUGAGUAACACGUGGGCAACCUGCCCUCAGCUCUGGGAUAAGCCCGGGAAACCGGGUCUAAUACCGGAUACGACCUCGGGAGACAUCUCCUGCGGUGGAAAGAAUUUCGGCUGAGGAUGGGCCCGCGGCCUAUCAGCUUGUUGGUGGGGUAACGGCCCACCAAGGCGACGACGGGUAGCCGGCCUGAGAGGGCGACCGGCCACACUGGGACUGAGACACGGCCCAGACUCCUACGGGAGGCAGCAGUGGGGAAUAUUGCGCAAUGGGCGAAAGCCUGACGCAGCGACGCCGCGUGAGGGACGAAGGCCUUCGGGUUGUAAACCUCUUUCAGCUCCGACGAAGCGCAAGUGACGGUAGGAGCAGAAGAAGCGCCGGCCAACUACGUGCCAGCAGCCGCGGUAAUACGUAGGGCGCAAGCGUUGUCCGGAAUUAUUGGGCGUAAAGAGCUCGUAGGCGGCUUGUCGCGUCGGCUGUGAAAACCCAGGGCUCAACCCCGGGCCUGCAGUCGAUACGGGCAAACUAGAGUGUGGUAGGGGAGACUGGAAUUCCUGGUGUAGCGGUGGAAUGCGCAGAUAUCAGGAGGAACACCGGUGGCGAAGGCGGGUCUCUGGGCCAUAACUGACGCUGAGGAGCGAAAGCGUGGGGAGCGAACAGGAUUAGAUACCCUAGUAGUCC